UGCUCUCAUCUUGUGUUUGUAUGUAUUGC
RNAcentral lists this non-coding RNA (29 nucleotides) under Mus musculus (house mouse). The record is from RNAcentral. Lineage: Eukaryota; Metazoa; Chordata; Mammalia; Rodentia; Muridae.